GUCCACGCCGUAAACGGUGGGCACUAGGUGUGGGACUCAUUCCACGAGUUCCGUGCCGUAGCUAACGCAUUAAGUGCCCCGCCUGGGGAGUACGGCCGCAAGGCUAAAACUCAAAGGAAUUGACGGGGGCCCGCACAAGCGGCGGAGCAUGCGGAUUAAUUCGAUGCAACGCGAAGAACCUUACCUAGGUUUGACAUAUACCGGAAAGCUGCAUAGAUGUAGCCCCCGCAAGGUCGGUAUACAGGUGGUGCAUGGCUGUCGU
This 262-nucleotide ribosomal RNA is filed under the name uncultured bacterium. RNAcentral describes it as "partial 16S ribosomal RNA". It matches the Rfam family "Bacterial small subunit ribosomal RNA", at positions 793 to 1055 of the family's 1533-position model. The record is from RNAcentral.